Manis pentadactyla (Chinese pangolin) is the source of this 130-nucleotide small nucleolar RNA. RefSeq annotates it as small nucleolar RNA SNORA69. Lineage: Eukaryota; Metazoa; Chordata; Mammalia; Pholidota; Manidae. The record is from RefSeq and is a predicted model, not a curated record. The transcript has a single exon.
AAAGCAGGUUGCAAUUACAGUGCUUCAUUUUGUGGAAGUACUGACAUUAUCCUGCUGAAAGAAAAUUGGUGUUAAUCUUUUGGUUUUGCCUUUAUGGGGGUAAAAUCGUGACAGAUUGACAUGGACAAUU